Molecule: ribosomal RNA, 402 nt
Filed under: Zelurus petax
Lineage: Eukaryota; Metazoa; Arthropoda; Insecta; Hemiptera; Reduviidae
Description: eukaryotic LSU rRNA
Rfam family: Eukaryotic large subunit ribosomal RNA
Source: RNAcentral
CUUGAAACACGGACCAAGGAGUUUAUCGUGUACGCAAGUCAUUGGGUGUAUAAAACCCAUAGGCGAAAUGAAAGUAAAGAGUAGAGCUUUGUAAGAUAAGUUUACUUUUUUUACAUUCUCUCUUAAGGGAAGAUGGAAAUAUUAUAUACUUUAUGUGUAUAAAAAUUUCCCGCAUUCCCAGGGCGCUUGUAUCUUGCUUUGCGAGUCGAUGCGCACCUAGAGCGUACACGCUGAUACCCGAAAGAUGGUGAACUAUGCCUGGCCAGGACGAAGCCAGGGGAAACCCUGGUGGAGGUCCGCAGCGAUUCUGACGUGCAAAUCGAUCGUCGGAGCUGGGUAUAGGGGCGAAAGACCAAUCGAACCAUCUAGUAGCUGGUUCCCUCUGAAGUUUCCCUCAGGAUA